RNAcentral lists this ribosomal RNA (467 nucleotides) under uncultured bacterium. Its description in RNAcentral is "bacterial SSU rRNA". It matches the Rfam family "Bacterial small subunit ribosomal RNA", at positions 356 to 823 of the family's 1533-position model. The record is from RNAcentral.
UGGGAAUCUUGCGCAAUGGGCGAAAGCCUGACGCAGCGACGCCGCGUGGGGGAUGACGGGUUUCGGCUUGUAAACCCCUGUUGCCCGGGACGAACUUCUCCAUUCGUGGAGAUUGACGGUACCGGGUGAGGAAGCACCGGCUAACUCUGUGCCAGCAGCCGCGGUAAUACAGAGGGUGCGAGCGUUGUCCGGAAUCACUGGGCGUAAAGGGCGCGUAGGUGGCGUCGCAAGUCGAUGGUGAAAGCUCGGCGCUCAACGCCGAGUCGGCCCUUGAUACUGCGAGGCUCGAGCACUGUAGAGGCAGAUGGAAUUCCGGGUGUAGCGGUGGAAUGCGUAGAGAUCCGGAAGAACACCGGUGGCGAAGGCGGUCUGCUGGGCAGUAGCUGACACUGAGGCGCGACAGCGUGGGGAGCAAACAGGAUUAGAUACCCUGGUAGUCCACGCCGUAAACGAUGGGCACUAGAUGC